ACUCCUACGGGAGGCAGCAGUGGGGAAUAUUGCACAAUGGGCGCAAGCCUGAUGCAGCCAUGCCGCGUGUAUGAAGAAGGCCUUCGGGUUGUAAAGUACUUUCAGCAGUGAGGAAGGUGGGGUAUGUUAAUAGCAUAUUCAUUUGACGUUAGCUGCAGAAGAAGCACCGGCUAACUCCGUGCCAGCAGCCGCGGUAAUACGGAGGGUGCAAGCGUUAAUCGGAAUUACUGGGCGUAAAGCGUGCGCAGGCGGUCUGUUAAGCGAGAUGUGAAAGCCCCGGGCUCAACCUGGGAACUGCAUUUUCGAACUGGCAGACUAGAGUCUUGUAGAGGGGGGUAGAAUUCCAGGUGNAGCGGUGAAAUGCGUAGAGAUCUGGAGGAAUACCGGUGGCGAAGGCGGCCCCCUGGACAAAGACUGACGCUCAGGCACGAAA
Molecule: ribosomal RNA, 433 nt
Filed under: uncultured bacterium
Lineage: Bacteria
Description: bacterial SSU rRNA
Rfam family: Bacterial small subunit ribosomal RNA
Source: RNAcentral